UGGGAAUUUUGGACAAUGGGGCAACCCUGAUCCAGCAAUGCCGCGUGUGUGAAGAAGGCCUUCGGGUUGUAAAGCACUUUUGUCCGGAAAGAAAUCGCCCUGGCUAAUAUCCGGGGUGGAUGACGGUACUGGAAGAAUAAGCACCGGCUAACUACGUGCCAGCAGCCGCGGUAAUACGUAGGGUGCGAGCGUUAAUUGGAAUUACUGGGCGUAAAGCGUGCGCAGGCGGUUGUGCAAGACAGAUGUGAAAUCCCCGGGCUUAACCUGGGAAUGGCAUUUGUGACUGCACGGCUAGAGUGUGUCAGAGGGGGGUAGAAUUCCACGUGUAGCAGUGAAAUGCGUAGAUAUGUGGAGGAACACCGAUGGCGAAGGCAGCCCCCUGGGAUAACACUGACGCUCAUGCACGAAAGCCGUGGGGGAGCAAACAGGAUUAGAUACCCUGGUAGUCCACGCCCUAAAACGAUGUCAAACUAGUUGUCGGGUCUUAAUUACUUGGUAACGCAGCUAAACGCGUGAAGUUGNCCGCCUGGGGAGUACGGUCGCAAGAUUAAAAACUCAAAUGAAUUGNCGGGGUCAUAGCU
This 581-nucleotide ribosomal RNA is filed under the name uncultured bacterium. Its description in RNAcentral is "partial 16S ribosomal RNA". It matches the Rfam family "Bacterial small subunit ribosomal RNA", at positions 356 to 926 of the family's 1533-position model. The record is from RNAcentral.